Molecule: non-coding RNA, 405 nt
Organism: Hippopotamus amphibius kiboko
Lineage: Eukaryota; Metazoa; Chordata; Mammalia; Artiodactyla; Hippopotamidae
Source: the annotation of a RefSeq genome assembly
GGGACUGUGAGCACCAUGGCCUGGACGCCUCUCCUUCUCCUGCUCCUCUCUCACUGCACAGGGUCCCUCUCCCAGCCUGUGCUCACCCAGCCGCCCUCCCUGUCUGCAUCCCUGGGAGCAUCAGCCCGACUCACCUGCACCCUGAGCAGUGGGAACAGUGUUGGUGGAUACAGCAUAUACUGGUACCAGCAGAAUCCAGGGAGCCCUCCCCGGUACCUCCUGAGGUUCAAGUCAGACUCGAAUAAGGAGCUGGGCUCCGGGGUCCCCAGCCGCUUCUCUGGGUCCAAAGAUGCCUCGGCCAACGCAGGGCUCCUGCUCAUCUCCGGGCUGCAGCCUGAAGACGAGGCUGACUAUUACUGUCAAGUGUAUACAAGCAGUAAUGAGCACAGUGACAGAGACAGAUGA